AAUAUACUCCCUCCGUCUGGAAAUACUUGUCUUAAAAAUGGAUGUAUGUAGAUUUAUUCUAGUUAUAGAUAUAUUUUAUUUAAUUAUUUUUAGGACAAGUAUUUUCGGAGAGAGGGAGUAGAUG
RNAcentral lists this microRNA precursor (124 nucleotides) under Hordeum vulgare. Its description in RNAcentral is "microRNA MIR1122". It matches the Rfam family "MIR1120/MIR1122 microRNA precursor family". Lineage: Eukaryota; Viridiplantae; Streptophyta; Magnoliopsida; Poales; Poaceae. The record is from RNAcentral.